AUUGAACGCUGGCGGCAUGCCUUACACAUGCAAGUCGAACGGCAGCACGGGUGCUUGCCCCUGGUGGCGAGUGGCGAACGGGUGAGUAAUACAUCGGAACAUGUCCUGUAGUGGGGGAUAGCCCGGCGAGAGCCGGAUUAAUACCGCAUACGAUCCACGGAUGAAAGCGGGGGACCUUCGGGCCUCGCGCUAUAGGGUUGGCCGAUGGCUGAUUAGCUAGUUGGUGGGGUAAAGGCCUACCAAGGCGACGAUCAGUAGCUGGUCUGAGAGGACGACCAGCCACACUGGGACUGAGACACGGCCCAGACUCCUACGGGAGGCAGCAGUGGGGAAUUUUGGACAAUGGGCGAAAGCCUGAUCCAGCAAUGCCGCGUGUGUGAAGAAGGCCUUCGGGUUGUAAAGCACUUUUGUCCGGAAAGAAAUCCUUGACUCUAAUACAGUCGGGGGAUGACGGUACCGGAAGAAUAAGCACCGGCUAACUACGUG
Molecule: ribosomal RNA, 486 nt
Filed under: uncultured bacterium
Lineage: Bacteria
Description: partial 16S ribosomal RNA
Rfam family: Bacterial small subunit ribosomal RNA
Source: RNAcentral